This 350-nucleotide long non-coding RNA is filed under the name Malus domestica (apple). RNAcentral's name for it is "long non-coding RNA (MDOM_LNC014621)". Lineage: Eukaryota; Viridiplantae; Streptophyta; Magnoliopsida; Rosales; Rosaceae. The record is from RNAcentral.
CUCCACCACCCGCCGGAAGGUUCCAAAGCACUCGGUAUUCCUCUUCCUCCGCCUUUGCUUCCUCCACUUCCAGCUUCACCUCUCGCUCCUCCACCUUCUUCAACCGCACCGUCUCCCCCCCGCGCCUCAACGUCGCCACCGCCUCUCCCUCCGCCCAGUCCGUACGUUUCUCCUUCGACCGCCCAACCUCCCCCAGCCGAUCCAUCUCCGUCUCACCACGCGGCACCGGCAGCCACCACCACCACCACACCGCCGUCCCCAGCGGCCGGAAUAUCAGUCAGCCGAAGCGAACCUGCAUGUGUUCCCCUACCACACACCCCGGCUCCUUCCGCUGCAGCCUCCACAAGAAC